GACGGAGGGCGCGAGCGUUAUCCGGAAUCAUUGGGUUUAAAGGGUCCGUAGGCGGGAUAAUAAGUCAGCGGUGAAAGUCUGUGGCUCAACCAUAGAAUUGCCAUUGAUACUGUUGUUCUUGAGUGCUUAUGAAGUGGUUAGAAUAUGUAGUGUAGCGGUGAAAUGCAUAGAUAUUACAUAGAAUACCGAUUGCGAAGGCAGAUCACUAAUAAUAUAUUGACGCUGAUGGACGAAAGCGUAGGUAGCGAACAGG
RNAcentral lists this unclassified non-coding RNA (253 nucleotides) under uncultured Flavobacteriaceae bacterium. Its description in RNAcentral is "contains 16S-23S intergenic spacer region". It matches the Rfam family "Bacterial small subunit ribosomal RNA", at positions 524 to 776 of the family's 1533-position model. The record is from RNAcentral. Lineage: Bacteria; Pseudomonadati; Bacteroidota; Flavobacteriia; Flavobacteriales; Flavobacteriaceae.